GGUCUCUUGGUGAAAUGGAUCAUCACGACGGUCUUCGGAACCGUAAUUCUGGGUUCGAGUCCCAGGGGGACCGCCA
This 76-nucleotide transfer RNA is filed under the name Alphaproteobacteria bacterium. RNAcentral's name for it is "tRNA-Arg". It matches the Rfam family "tRNA". Rfam says of the family: Transfer RNA (tRNA) molecules are approximately 80 nucleotides in length. Their secondary structure includes four short double-helical elements and three loops (D, anti-codon, and T loops). Further hydrogen bonds mediate the characteristic L-shaped molecular structure. tRNAs have two regions of fundamental functional importance: the anti-codon, which is responsible for specific mRNA codon recognition, and the 3' end, to which the tRNAs corresponding amino acid is attached (by aminoacyl-tRNA synthetases). tRNAs cope with the degeneracy of the genetic code in two manners: having more than one tRNA (with a specific anti-codon) for a particular amino acid; and 'wobble' base-pairing, i.e. permitting non-standard base-pairing at the 3rd anti-codon position. Lineage: Bacteria; Pseudomonadati; Pseudomonadota; Alphaproteobacteria. RNAcentral also lists the same sequence under 1 other name. The record is from RNAcentral.